Molecule: small nuclear RNA, 108 nt
Organism: Stegodyphus dumicola
Lineage: Eukaryota; Metazoa; Arthropoda; Arachnida; Araneae; Eresidae
Source: RefSeq, a predicted model, not a curated record
GUACCUGCUUCUGCAGAACAUAUAAUAAAAUUGGAACGAUACAGAGAAGAUUAGCAUGAUCCCUGCACCAGAAUGACACGCUAAACUUGUAAGCAGUAUAGUGGUUAC